Molecule: ribosomal RNA, 447 nt
Filed under: uncultured bacterium
Lineage: Bacteria
Description: bacterial SSU rRNA
Rfam family: Bacterial small subunit ribosomal RNA
Source: RNAcentral
UCGGGAAUUUUGGGCAAUGGGCGAAAGCCUGACCCAGCAACGCCGCGUGAAGGAUGAAGUAUUUCGGUAUGUAAACUUCGAAAGAAUAGGAAGAAUAAAUGACGGUACUAUUUAUAAGGUCCGGCUAACUACGUGCCAGCAGCCGCGGUAAUACGUAGGGACCAAGCGUUGUUCGGAUUUACUGGGCGUAAAGGGCGCGUAGGCGGCAAUUCAAGUCAUCUGUGAAAUCUCCGGGCUUAACUCGGAACGGUCAGAUGAUACUGCUUUGCUAGAGUGCAGAGGGGGCAAUCGGAAUUCUUGGUGUAGCGGUGAAAUGCGUAGAUAUCAAGAGGAACACCUGAGGUGAAGACGGGUUGCUGGGCUGACACUGACGCUGAGGCGCGAAAGCUAGGGUAGCAAACGGGAUUAGAUACCCCGGUAGUCCCUGAGCGGGCUGGCAAGGCGCAU